CAGCAGUCCACAAAAGCAUACAUGUGGAAGAUAGCAGCACCAGGCUGACAGUCAGACAGAUUACUUGUUGAGAUUAAUUUUGGAUGAUUGUAUGAGGAGCUUGGGGGUUCCUCAAAAUCUACCAAACAGUCAGAAAGGUUUUAUUUUAAUGGAAUUUAGGUACUAAAGUGACUUGCAUUGAGGCUAUAGGGUCCUUUCUGAAGUUAGGUUCUUCAGGAUCUUCUCCAAGAAACAAGAUAAGGCACCAGGAUGGACAGGUAGCAGCCAAGAGGGUGUCAAACACUGUCAGCUCGAGCAACAGAGGGUGACAGCUUCUCAAUGCUGAUAUAUGGGGCUACUUUCUCCAGCCCUAAUGGCUCUACAGAUGUCUUGAAAAGAGAAGAGAAGCGAUGGAGAACAAGAAAAAGACCCAGAGCUUGUCCGGCUUAUUCUCCUGGAUCUUCUGGAUGUGUGGAGUCUGCAAGAUCCUGGGCUCAGCCUCAUCUCCAGCUCCCUCUGUUACACAGUGUGAACUGCUGGAGCAUGCAAACAUCACCUGCUACUGGACAGCGGCCGGUUCGGACAGCACCAUCUACAUUCUGUCAGUCAACAUGACAAGCUGUUUGAAUUCUACAAACUACAAGCCCAUUGGUUUCUGCACUACAGCACACACUCAGUGUUCAGUGAGCAUUGGCUCAGUGUCUCACUGCUUCUGCGUGGAUGUUCUAGCAUCUUCUCCUUCUGGAACCAUCAGAUCAGCUCGCCAUUGUCUAGUCGGCGUCAAUGAAGUUAAGAUGUACCCACCACAGAUCACAAAGCUCAUCCCAAUACCAAGAAAAGCAAACUGUCUGAGGCUGGAGUGGACUGAAGACACGUCUAUCUAUUUGCAAACUAAAAAGGAACAUGGUGUCCUACAGAUAGAGUACAGCACCUCUCAUCAGGACCAGGCCAGCAGAGUCAGCACUGCCUUUCAUGACUGGAAAAUGGAGCUGUGUGGGUUAUAUCCCGGCACCAAGCACUACGUGAGGGUCCGAGCGCAGGACAGCAGAGCCCCCAAGCACUGGAGCUCCUGGAGCGGCGUCAGAGAGGCCACCACAGCGGAGGCUGCCCCAUCAGCCACCCCAGAGCUAUGGCGGCACAUCCAGCCAUCAGACAAAACAGGACAGAGGCACAUCACCUUACUCUGGAAGGUAAAUCCAAAGUCACCUGACUCGCAAGCUCUCACAAGCACAGGUGAAAACAAAUAGUGAAAACAAAAACAGACCUGAGGACAUGUUAUAUUAACUUCAAAG
RNAcentral lists this long non-coding RNA (1271 nucleotides) under Astyanax mexicanus (Mexican tetra). RNAcentral describes it as "lncRNA (ENSAMXG00005008391.1)". The record is from RNAcentral. Lineage: Eukaryota; Metazoa; Chordata; Actinopteri; Characiformes; Acestrorhamphidae.